Long non-coding RNA from Saccostrea echinata, 449 nucleotides. RefSeq lists it as uncharacterized. The record is from RefSeq and is a predicted model, not a curated record. NCBI's taxonomy places the organism in Eukaryota, Metazoa, Mollusca, Bivalvia, Ostreida, Ostreidae. The transcript is spliced from 3 exons.
AAUCUCGACCAGAAAAGAUGCAACAUUAUUAUUUAGACGCUUGACAAAAUCAAACGUUUGUAUGAUUCUGAUGCACAGCACAAUUAUAAUCGUUCACCAAUUUUGAGAAGGUAAGAUUAUUAUUUGGACGCUUGAAAAAGGAAACGUUUGUCUGCCGAAGAUAAUCACGUGACUCAAGGCCAUGUGCUAGUAUCAACAGUGCGGCAGUGCCAGUGAAAGUCAGGCGGUAUGCCGGAGCAACAAAGAGUCUUGAUUUUUAGAGGCAGGUUUUAAAGAAAGAAAUCAGUGUUGUAAAGAAAGAAAAAGAUUUUCCACUCAAAGAAUUAUGGAUAACACAGAGGGUUCAGGAACCAUAAAUUUGAUGUUGGAGUCUUAACUUCACCCUGAUAGACUUUGAGCACGUCAUAAGUUUAAGACCUAUGGACAAAAAUCUUGCAAUGGGAAGAUAA